Molecule: long non-coding RNA, 872 nt
Filed under: Homo sapiens (human)
Lineage: Eukaryota; Metazoa; Chordata; Mammalia; Primates; Hominidae
Description: HSALNT0378121
Source: RNAcentral
ACCAGAAACAACCUAAAUGACCAUCAAUAGCAGAUGGCACAGCGUUAUAAUGGAAUAUUAGGCAGGCCUUGCAAACAAGAGACACACAGGAGCAAUACCAGGAGUAAAGCAAGCUGAGAGCCGGAACAAUAUAAGAAAAGAGCCUACCAUGUGCCAGAGGACAACUUCAAUAAAAAACACCAGGUCAGCGGAUAAGACCAUGUCACUCACAGGUUUGUGACUUGAGGCCUGAGCACCAAUGAUCCACUCCACAUCAGUGGAGAAUGUUGGAAAGUAAGGACGCUGUGGACAUUUUCUGAAGUUGGAGAAAUGGAAUGGUGGAGAAGCCAGUAUUGGGGUACCAUGAGUGGAGCAGAGUUGACUACAAAUCUCAAUAAAGCUUUUCAACUGUAUACCUAACUGCAAAGUCAUUUACUCACAACAAGCAAAAAAAUAAAUAUAUACUUAUCUCCCUUCCAAAUUUAAUCCUUUGACAAUAGAUAAUAAUGAAAUGAACUUAUUCUCUUCAGCUUCCAGGAUGAUACAGCUUCUAGAUAAAACUUCUGGGCUAAUCUUAUUAUUGCAUAACGUUCCUACUCAGGGUAAAAGAAUGACUAAGAAGUGUUGUGAAAGAAUCUUGCUUCUGGGGUCUCCACGGAAUCACACAUCCCACUGUCUCUGCCCCACUUCCCUUCUCUCCCUCAGGCAGCUGAUGACUUGGGCCUGCUGUGAUUUCUCCCUCCGCUAAACUGUCCACUCCACUCACUCAUCACUUAAAACUCUCUCAACUUUGUUAUCUUUGUACAGCACAAGUCUUGUCUUUUCAAUAGAUUUCGAACACCUUAUGAGCAAGAAAUAUGAAUUACACCUUUUAACAUCUGAAAUUGCUCCUA